Molecule: ribosomal RNA, 301 nt
Filed under: uncultured bacterium
Lineage: Bacteria
Description: partial 16S ribosomal RNA
Rfam family: Bacterial small subunit ribosomal RNA
Source: RNAcentral
CAGCCGCCACGGUAAUACGUAGGUGGCAAGCGCUGUCCGGAAUUAUUGGGCGUAAAGGGCUCGCAGGCGGUUUCUUAAGUCUGAUGUGAAAGCCCCCGGCUCAACCGGGGAGGGUCAUUGGAAGCUGGGAAACUUGAGUGCAGAAGAGGAGAGUGGAAUUCCACGUGUAGCGGUGAAAUGCGUAGAGAUGUGGAGGAACACCAGUGGCGAAGGCGACUCUCUGGUCUGUAACUGACGCUGAGGAGCGAAAGCGUGGGGAGCGAACGGGAUUAGAUACCCCAGUAGUCCCUGUCUCUUAUAC